UGCCAGACUCCUACGGGAGGCAGCAGUGGGGAAUAUUGCACAAUGGGGGAAACCCUGAUGCAGCGACGCCGCGUGAGCGAUGAAGUAUUUCGGUAUGUAAAGCUCUAUCAGCAGGGAAGAAGAUGACGGUACCUGACUAAGAAGCCCCGGCUAGCUACGUGCCAGCAGCCGCGGUAAUACGUAGGGGGCAAGCGUUAUCCGGAUUUACUGGGUGUAAAGGGAGCGUAGACGGCGAUGCAAGCCAGGAGUGAAAGCCCGGGGCCCAACCCCGGGACUGCUCUUGGAACUGCGUGGCUGGAGUGCAGGAGGGGCAGGCGGAAUUCCUGGUGUAGCGGUGAAAUGCGUAGAUGUCAGGAGGAACACCGGUGGCGAAGGCGGUCUGCUGGACUGCAACUGACGUUGAGGCCCGAAAGCGUGGGGAGCAAACAGGAUUAGAUACCCGAGUAAAC
Molecule: ribosomal RNA, 449 nt
Filed under: uncultured bacterium
Lineage: Bacteria
Description: bacterial SSU rRNA
Rfam family: Bacterial small subunit ribosomal RNA
Source: RNAcentral